GGGUUGUGAGGUUAAGCGACUAAGCGUACACGGUGGAUGCCCUGGCAGUCAGAGGCGAUGAAGGACGUGCUAAUCUGCGAUAAGCGUCGGUAAGGUGAUAUGAACCGUUAUAACCGGCGAUUUCCGAAUGGGGAAACCCAGUGUGAUUCGUCACACUAUCAUUAACUGAAUCCAUAGGUUAAUGAGGCGAACCGGGGGAACUGAAACAUCUAAGUACCCCGAGGAAAAGAAAUCAACCGAGAUUCCCCCAGUAGCGGCGAGCGAACGGGGAGGAGCCCAGAGCCUGAAUCAGUGUGUGUGUUAGUGGAAGCGUCUGGAAAGGCGCGCGAUACAGGGUGACAGCCCCGUACACAAAAAUGCACAUGCUGUGAGCUCGAUGAGUAGGGCGGGACACGUGGUAUCCUGUCUGAAUGUGGGGGGACCAUCCUCCAAGGCUAAAUACUCCUGACUGACCGAUAGUGAACCAGUACCGUGAGGGAAAGGCGAAAAGAACCCCGGCGAGGGGAGUGAAAAAGAACCUGAAACCGUGUACGUACAAGCAGUGGGAGCACGCUUAGGCGUGUGACUGCGUACCUUUUGUAUAAUGGGUCAGCGACUUAUAUUCUGUAGCAAGGUUAACCGAAUAGGGGAGCCGAAGGGAAACCGAGUCUUAACUGGGCGUUAAGUUGCAGGGUAUAGACCCGAAACCCGGUGAUCUAGCCAUGGGCAGGUUGAAGGUUGGGUAACACUAACUGGAGGACCGAACCGACUAAUGUUGAAAAAUUAGCGGAUGACUUGUGGCUGGGGGUGAAAGGCCAAUCAAACCGGGAGAUAGCUGGUUCUCCCCGAAAGCUAUUUAGGUAGCGCCUCGUGAAUUCAUCUCCGGGGGUAGAGCACUGUUUCGGCAAGGGGGUCAUCCCGACUUACCAACCCGAUGCAAACUGCGAAUACCGGAGAAUGUUAUCACGGGAGACACACGGCGGGUGCUAACGUCCGUCGUGAAGAGGGAAACAACCCAGACCGCCAGCUAAGGUCCCAAAGUCAUGGUUAAGUGGGAAACGAUGUGGGAAGGCCCAGACAGCCAGGAUGUUGGCUUAGAAGCAGCCAUCAUUUAAAGAAAGCGUAAUAGCUCACUGGUCGAGUCGGCCUGCGCGGAAGAUGUAACGGGGCUAAACCAUGCACCGAAGCUGCGGCAGCGACGCUGAUGCGUUGUUGGGUAGGGGAGCGUUCUGUAAGCCUGUGAAGGUGUGCUGUGAGGCAUGCUGGAGGUAUCAGAAGUGCGAAUGCUGACAUAAGUAACGAUAAAGCGGGUGAAAAGCCCGCUCGCCGGAAGACCAAGGGUUCCUGUCCAACGUUAAUCGGGGCAGGGUGAGUCGACCCCUAAGGCGAGGCCGAAAGGCGUAGUCGAUGGGAAACAGGUUAAUAUUCCUGUACUUGGUGUUACUGCGAAGGGGGGACGGAGAAGGCUAUGUUGGCCGGGCGACGGUUGUCCCGGUUUAAGCGUGUAGGCUGGUUUUCCAGGCAAAUCCGGAAAAUCAAGGCUGAGGCGUGAUGACGAGGCACUACGGUGCUGAAGCAACAAAUGCCCUGCUUCCAGGAAAAGCCUCUAAGCAUCAGGUAACAUCAAAUCGUACCCCAAACCGACACAGGUGGUCAGGUAGAGAAUACCAAGGCGCUUGAGAGAACUCGGGUGAAGGAACUAGGCAAAAUGGUGCCGUAACUUCGGGAGAAGGCACGCUGAUAUGUAGGUGAAGUCCCUCGCGGAUGGAGCUGAAAUCAGUCGAAGAUACCAGCUGGCUGCAACUGUUUAUUAAAAACACAGCACUGUGCAAACACGAAAGUGGACGUAUACGGUGUGACGCCUGCCCGGUGCCGGAAGGUUAAUUGAUGGGGUCAGCGCAAGCGAAGCUCUUGAUCGAAGCCCCGGUAAACGGCGGCCGUAACUAUAACGGUCCUAAGGUAGCGAAAUUCCUUGUCGGGUAAGUUCCGACCUGCACGAAUGGCGUAAUGAUGGCCAGGCUGUCUCCACCCGAGACUCAGUGAAAUUGAACUCGCUGUGAAGAUGCAGUGUACCCGCGGCAAGACGGAAAGACCCCGUGAACCUUUACUAUAGCUUGACACUGAACAUUGAGCCUUGAUGUGUAGGAUAGGUGGGAGGCUUAGAAGUGUGGACGCCAGUCUGCAUGGAGCCGACCUUGAAAUACCACCCUUUAAUGUUUGAUGUUCUAACGUUGACCCGUAAUCCGGGUUGCGGACAGUGUCUGGUGGGUAGUUUGACUGGGGCGGUCUCCUCCUAAAGAGUAACGGAGGAGCACGAAGGUUGGCUAAUCCUGGUCGGACAUCAGGAGGUUAGUGCAAUGGCAUAAGCCAGCUUGACUGCGAGCGUGACGGCGCGAGCAGGUGCGAAAGCAGGUCAUAGUGAUCCGGUGGUUCUGAAUGGAAGGGCCAUCGCUCAACGGAUAAAAGGUACUCCGGGGAUAACAGGCUGAUACCGCCCAAGAGUUCAUAUCGACGGCGGUGUUUGGCACCUCGAUGUCGGCUCAUCACAUCCUGGGGCUGAAGUAGGUCCCAAGGGUAUGGCUGUUCGCCAUUUAAAGUGGUACGCGAGCUGGGUUUAGAACGUCGUGAGACAGUUCGGUCCCUAUCUGCCGUGGGCGCUGGAGAACUGAGGGGGGCUGCUCCUAGUACGAGAGGACCGGAGUGGACGCAUCACUGGUGUUCGGGUUGUCAUGCCAAUGGCACUGCCCGGUAGCUAAAUGCGGAAGAGAUAAGUGCUGAAAGCAUCUAAGCACGAAACUUGCCCCGAGAUGAGUUCUCCCUGACCCUUUAAGGGUCCUGAAGGAACGUUGAAGACGACGACGUUGAUAGGCCGGGUGUGUAAGCGCAGCGAU
Molecule: ribosomal RNA, 2870 nt
Filed under: Escherichia coli
Lineage: Bacteria; Pseudomonadati; Pseudomonadota; Gammaproteobacteria; Enterobacterales; Enterobacteriaceae
Description: partial 23S ribosomal RNA
Rfam family: Bacterial large subunit ribosomal RNA
Source: RNAcentral